Non-coding RNA from Chlorocebus sabaeus (green monkey), 1196 nucleotides. Lineage: Eukaryota; Metazoa; Chordata; Mammalia; Primates; Cercopithecidae. The record is from RefSeq and is a predicted model, not a curated record.
CUGAGACUGUAAAUAUUAACAUCUUAGAAUUUGUAAUUAGGCACAAACAAAAGAACUUCUGGUAGAUGGCACAUGCCUCUUUCCCGGUUUCUGGCUUCAAGGAAGGAUGCCAUCACUCCUGUCUGCUGUCUUUGAAAUUCCCAGGUAAUGACCAAAUAGUUGUAUGUAUGUAUAUCUGUGUAUGUCUAUGUAUAUCUUUUCAUAUAUAUGUAAAAUUACAAUCAUCUUACUUUAGCCCCUCCGGUAAUAAUUUUGCGUGUUUCUUGGAUGCAUAGCAGGUAUUCUAUUUACAUUUACUGCAAACAAAUAUUUUUUUUAAAAAGCAAUGGAAUUAUAGUAGAACCAGGCAGAUUUAACAAUUGUGACAGAGGAAUAGCAAUAUAACAGAUCUGCUAAGUAGAGCAAAAUAAAUUGCAAAAUGAUGCAGUAGGGGCAUACUGAAAUUUAACAUGGCAGCGGGGAUAUGGGUAUAUACCUCAUUCCAACUGCAACUGAGUCUCCAUAUAAGUAGCUUCUUUAGCUUACCUGGUGUGUGGAUGAAAAUUCUGUUAAUGCUGAAUGGCCCCCUCCCCUGUCCCACUCCAAUGAACAUUUUAUAGAGAAACCAAUGUUAAUGUAGGUCGUUGAAAACAAAAUUUACAUGCUUCUGUGCAAGUUGAUCAAUACGAUUAGGCAUGUCCCUUCUGCAAUUACUUUAAAAUUUAUUCUUCCUUGUCAUAAUCCUACAGAAUGGAUUGAAACAGAGAAAAUGGAAAGAGAAAGACACCAUUAACUGAAAAUCCAGCCAUGAUAUCUGAUAAGUGAAACAAUUAUUUUUGUGCUAUUUUUAGAAUUCAACAAAAUUUCUUUCAUAAGACUAUACCAUGCCCUCAAGUUUGUUUCUAUUUAUAAAUGCCUCUGCCAAGAGUCAUUCAGAAGCAAGUGAAAAAGCGGUGCAGAUAUUUGCAGGGAGAACAUUGCAGGAAGAGAAAUAUGCACGUGCAAAGACAGAGAUGGGAACAUGCUUGGCAUACCUGAGGAAUAGUGAGGAGGAAUUGGAACUUUGGGCCUCUGUAUUUCUCUCUUCCAAGUCUGGGAACUCCUGAAAAGUAAGAACCACUUUUUAGACUCAUCUGGGUAUCUCCUUGACCCCACAUAGAAUCAGGCCACUGGACUCCUUUUCAACCAUUGUUUUCCCAUCUCCACUGAGCUAUAGC